GCGGAAGUGGCUCAGUGGUAGAGCAUCUCCUUGCCAAGGAGAGAGUCGCGGGUUCGAAUCCCGUCUUCCGCU
This 72-nucleotide transfer RNA is filed under the name Chloroflexota bacterium. RNAcentral describes it as "Chloroflexi bacterium (anaerobic digester metagenome) tRNA-Gly". It matches the Rfam family "tRNA". From Rfam's summary of the family: Transfer RNA (tRNA) molecules are approximately 80 nucleotides in length. Their secondary structure includes four short double-helical elements and three loops (D, anti-codon, and T loops). Further hydrogen bonds mediate the characteristic L-shaped molecular structure. tRNAs have two regions of fundamental functional importance: the anti-codon, which is responsible for specific mRNA codon recognition, and the 3' end, to which the tRNAs corresponding amino acid is attached (by aminoacyl-tRNA synthetases). tRNAs cope with the degeneracy of the genetic code in two manners: having more than one tRNA (with a specific anti-codon) for a particular amino acid; and 'wobble' base-pairing, i.e. permitting non-standard base-pairing at the 3rd anti-codon position. Lineage: Bacteria; Bacillati; Chloroflexota. The record is from RNAcentral. RNAcentral also lists the same sequence under 1 other name.